GUGGCUAUAGCUCAGUUGGUAGAGCCCUAGAUUGUGGUUCUAGUUGUCGCGGGUUCAAAUCCCGUUAGCCACCCCA
Molecule: transfer RNA, 76 nt
Filed under: Candidatus Omnitrophota bacterium
Lineage: Bacteria; Pseudomonadati; Candidatus Omnitrophota
Description: Candidatus Omnitrophica bacterium (sediment metagenome) tRNA-His
Rfam family: tRNA
About the family: Transfer RNA (tRNA) molecules are approximately 80 nucleotides in length. Their secondary structure includes four short double-helical elements and three loops (D, anti-codon, and T loops).
Source: RNAcentral